UACGGAAGGCAGCAGUGGGGAAUAUUGCACAAUGGGCGCAAGCCUGAUGCAGCCAUGCCGCGUGUAUGAAGAAGGCCUUCGGGUUGUAAAGUACUUUUCAGUCGUGAGGAAGGUGUUAAGGUUAAUAACCUUAGCAAUUGACGUUAGCGACAGAAGAAGCACCGGCUAACUCCGUGCCAGCAGCCGCGGUAAUACGGAGGGUGCGAGCGUUAAUCGGAAUUACUGGGCGUAAAGGGCACGCAGGCGGUUAAUUAAGUUGGAUGUGAAAUCCCCGGGCUUAACCUGGGAAUGGCAUUCAAGACUGGUUAGCUAGAGUCUUGUAGAGGGGGUAGAAUUCCGAUGUGUAGCGGUGAAAUGCGUAGAGAUGUGGAGGAAUACCGGUGGCGAAGGCGGCCCCUGGGACAAAGACUGACGCUCAUGUGCGAAAGCGUGGGGAGCGAAACAGGGAU
This 449-nucleotide ribosomal RNA is filed under the name uncultured bacterium. RNAcentral's name for it is "bacterial SSU rRNA". It matches the Rfam family "Bacterial small subunit ribosomal RNA", at positions 340 to 779 of the family's 1533-position model. The record is from RNAcentral.